UGCUCGGGUGCGUCCGGAGCGGGUGCCGUUGUCGUUGGCGCAGCAGCGGAUGUGGUUUUUGUCGCGGUUUGAUGCUGUGUCGGGUGU
This 87-nucleotide transfer RNA is filed under the name Rhodococcus erythropolis. Its description in RNAcentral is "tRNA-Asp(gtc)". The record is from RNAcentral. Lineage: Bacteria; Bacillati; Actinomycetota; Actinomycetes; Mycobacteriales; Nocardiaceae. RNAcentral also lists the same sequence under 1 other name.